GGAAAUUCCAUGCCCUUCCCACAUACCUUGCCCUGUGCAUCCACGUACUGAGAGGAUGACUCACCCCAACUCAGCAGCGACAGAAGCUCCUAUGCUCAGGACCUUCCCAGACUUCCCCCAAGUGUCUCUUCAUCUGGUUGUUCAUCUGUAUCCUUUAUCACAUCCUGUCAUAAACUGGUCAAGCCCAACCCUUUGAGGUGGGUCCUGUUAUCUCCAAAUUAUAGAUGAGAAGACUGAGGGUCAGAAAGGAGCUGUUGCUUGGAACAGGUUAACACAGAACUCAACCCCAGGACCAAACCCAGAGGGGACUUAGGAAAAGCCCAGGUUGAGAACUGCUGCUCCGUUCUCAAUUCUCUCGUUCGCUGUGUCCAGCCGGGAAGCCAAGGCUCUGCACCCUUGUCCUCAGGAGUUCCUGGAUAGCUGAGACACUCGUCUGACUGGGUACAGGAUCAAUUUCUAGAAAUGGAAUUUCUGGUGCAAACAGAUGGAAAGUUUUUAGGGCUUUCACCCUACAGCACAGUGGAACCAAUUUACAGCCCCAGCAGCAGAAUGAAGAUUAGCCCUGAGCUAACAUCCACUGCCAAUCCUCCUCUUUUUGCUGAGGAAGACUGGCCCUGAGCUAACACCCAUGCCCAUCUUCCUCUACUUUAUAUGUGGGACACCUGCCACAGCAUGGCCUGACAAGUCCACACCUGAGAUCACAGCCGGGGAACCCCAGGCCACCGAAGUAGAGCCCUCGAACUUCAAUACGACACUGGAUCUGCCCCAAAGUUGCAUUUCUUUUGUUACUAUUAUUGUUACAAAUGGCUUCACAUGUUUACUGAUCAUUUACACUUAGUUUUAAAUCACAUGUCUGUUAUGCUCCGUGCCUAUUCCUACUGGGGUGGUGUCUUUUUCCUAUUGAUUUGUAAUGAUAUCAACACUUUUUCAGAUAUAUAUUGAAUUGUCCUAAUUUAUCCUUUGCCUAUUAAUUUUGUUUAUGAUUUUUUUGAUGCACAAAAUCUUUUUGCUGUCAUAUUUUUCAAUCUUUCCCUUAUGGUUUCUACUUUUGAUAUUAAACUUAGAAUGGCUUUCCCCACAUGGACAUUAUAUGAGUAUUUUCCUCUAUUAUCUUUUUGGUAUCAUUUAUUAUAUUUAAUUCUUUAUCCCGUUUGAAAUUUAUGUUAGUAUGUGGUUUGGGGAAAGAUCAAAUUCUUAAUUUUCUAAGCCAUAUUUAUUCAUUUCCUACCCAUUUUGAAAUGCCACAUUUGUCAUAUUCUGAAUAUUUAAAGUACACCUUGGGGGGCCGGGCAGGUGGCGCAGCGGUUAAGUGCACACGUUGCGCUUUGGCGGCCCAGGGUUUGCCAGUUCAGAUCCCAGGUGCGGACAUGGCACCGCUUGGCAAGCCAUGCUGUG
This 1395-nucleotide long non-coding RNA is filed under the name Equus asinus (donkey). Its description in RNAcentral is "lncRNA (ENSEASG00005036441.1)". The record is from RNAcentral. Lineage: Eukaryota; Metazoa; Chordata; Mammalia; Perissodactyla; Equidae.